UGAGACUCUGUGCGCGUGCAUAUCAAUAAGCGGAGGAAAAGAAACUAACAAGGAUUCCCUUAGUAACGGCGAGUGAAGCGGGAAGAGCUCAAAUUUGAAAUCUUCAAGGUUCUACCUUGACGAAUUGUAGUUUAUAGAAGUGUUUUCUGUUAGUAGGAGUGGCAAAAGUUCUUUGGAAUAGGACAUCAUAGAGGGUGAGAAUCCCGUAUUUGGUCAUUCCUUCCUAGCGUUGUGAUACACUUUCAACGAGUCGGAUUGUUUGGGAAUGCAGUCCAAAAUGGGUGGUAAAUUUCAUCUAAAGCUAAAUAUUGGCGAGAGACCGAUAGCGAACAAGUACCGUGAGGGAAAGAUGAAAAGAACUUUGAAAAGAGAGUUAAACAGUACGUGAAAUUGUCAAAAUAGGGAAGCGUUUGACACCAGUGUUGUUUUUCGAAAAUCAAUUCAUGAAUGGUUUGAUUUUAAGUAGUAUUGACCUUCAUCAGCUUGCUGCUUUCUUUUCAGGAAUUAUUGAAUGCACUUUUCAGUUAACAAAUCAACAUCAAUUUCUUUUGUUGUAAAAGGGUAAGAGGAAGGUGGCUUACGCUUCGGCGUAAGUGUUUAUAGCCUUUUACCUCUGCAAUCGGAGAGAUUGAGGACAGCAGCGUAGACUCUUCGGGGUUAGAUACACUUGUGCUAAGCUAUAGCCUUGUAUAGACAACUUGUUGACUAUGCUCAGUCAUGUAGCUUACUCGCUUGUGCUAUUUACCUACGCUUAGGAUGUUGAACUCUAUCACACACAG
This 779-nucleotide ribosomal RNA is filed under the name uncultured Neocallimastigales. Its description in RNAcentral is "partial large subunit ribosomal RNA". It matches the Rfam family "Eukaryotic large subunit ribosomal RNA", at positions 23 to 624 of the family's 3401-position model. Lineage: Eukaryota; Fungi; Neocallimastigomycota; Neocallimastigomycetes; Neocallimastigales. The record is from RNAcentral.